This 420-nucleotide unclassified non-coding RNA is filed under the name soil metagenome. RNAcentral describes it as "partial contains 5.8S ribosomal RNA, internal transcribed spacer 2, and large subunit ribosomal RNA". The stretch from base 1 to 120 matches the Rfam family "5.8S ribosomal RNA", at positions 35 to 154 of the family's 154-position model. The record is from RNAcentral.
GAUGAAGAACGCAGCGAAAUGCGAUACGUAAUGUGAAUUGCAGAAUUCAGUGAAUCAUCGAAUCUUUGAACGCACAUUGCACUCUCUGGUAUUCCGGAGAGUAUGCUUGUUUGAGUAUCAGUAAACACCUCAAAUCUCUACAUUCGUGUUGAGAAUUGGACUUGAGCAAUCCCAACUCUUUGCAAAAAGGGGCGGGUUGCUUGAAAUGCAGGUGCAGCUGGACAUUCUUCUGAGCUAAAAGCAUAUUUAUUUAGUCCCGUCAAACGGAUUAUUACUUUUGCUCUAGCUAAUAUAAAGGUCGAAUGGACUAUACGCUGACUGAUGCAGGAUUACCAAGUUUCCGUCAAAAGAAAUUUGUAAACUCGAUCUCAAAUCAAGUAAGACUACCCGCUGAACUUAAGCAUAUCAAUAAGCGGAGGA